CCCGCAACGAGCGCAACCCUUGCCUUUAGUUGCCAGCAGUUCGGCUGGGCACUCUAAAGGGACUGCCGGUGUUAAACCGGAGGAAGGUGGGGAUGACGUCAAGUCCUCAUGGCCUUUAUGACCAGGGCUACACACGUACUACAAUGGCCGAUACAAAGGGCAGCGACACUGCGAGGUGAAGCCAAUCCCGUAAAAUCGGUCUCAGUCCGGAUUGGAGUCUGCAACUCGACUCCAUGAAGUUGGAAUCGCUAGUAAUCGUGGAUCCAGCAUGCCACGGUGAAUACGUUCCCGGGCCUU
This 297-nucleotide ribosomal RNA is filed under the name uncultured Desulfobulbus sp. Its description in RNAcentral is "partial 16S ribosomal RNA". It matches the Rfam family "Bacterial small subunit ribosomal RNA", at positions 1086 to 1382 of the family's 1533-position model. Lineage: Bacteria; Pseudomonadati; Thermodesulfobacteriota; Desulfobulbia; Desulfobulbales; Desulfobulbaceae. The record is from RNAcentral.